Helianthus annuus (common sunflower) is the source of this 380-nucleotide long non-coding RNA. RefSeq lists it as uncharacterized. The record is from RefSeq and is a predicted model, not a curated record. The transcript is spliced from 3 exons. NCBI's taxonomy places the organism in Eukaryota, Viridiplantae, Streptophyta, Magnoliopsida, Asterales, Asteraceae.
AAAAUAAACAUUCCCGCUUCUAUCUUGGCUCGCUGUCUCCCCUUUCCCGCUACUCAUUCCAGCCCUAAUCUUCCCACCAAAGAAAUCGACUAGCCGAUGAGUAGGCGACGACGAAGAUAGAGGCCAGAAGCUGCGUUCCAGACCGUGGUUUCAGGCGGCGCUUCAAACUGUGAAACUAUGAUUGGAAGAUCGGGAAGCUUUACAAAUAAGCCAAUUUGCAUCAUCUAGUCGAGACUUAUAAGGUUGAUGUUCAAGAAAUAAAGCAAUCAAGCUAGGAUGGAACUAGAAACCCAUUUUAGCAUAGUAUUUUAUUAUGUUUGAUUUAUGAUGUACUUGAAAACAAUGUAUUCCCAUUUGAUAUUUAUGAAAUGAAUUUAAUU